RNAcentral lists this non-coding RNA (29 nucleotides) under Mus musculus (house mouse). The record is from RNAcentral. Lineage: Eukaryota; Metazoa; Chordata; Mammalia; Rodentia; Muridae.
UUUGNGAGAUGCUUCCUACUCUGCUUGUG